GCACUGCUGAAGAGUCACAUACUAGGACGAAACGGCCGUCCAGUGC
This is a non-coding RNA of Schistosoma haematobium, 46 nucleotides long. NCBI's taxonomy places the organism in Eukaryota, Metazoa, Platyhelminthes, Trematoda, Strigeidida, Schistosomatidae. The record is from Rfam.